RNAcentral lists this ribosomal RNA (253 nucleotides) under uncultured bacterium. RNAcentral's name for it is "partial 16S ribosomal RNA". It matches the Rfam family "Bacterial small subunit ribosomal RNA", at positions 524 to 776 of the family's 1533-position model. The record is from RNAcentral.
UACAGAGGGGGCAAGCGUUGUUCGGAAUUAAUGGGCGUAAAGGGCGCGUAGGCGGCCUGUUAAGUCGAACGUGAAAUCCCCGGGCUCAACCCGGGAACUGCGUCCGAAACUGGCAGGCUCGAAUUCGGGAGAGGGAUGCGGAAUUCCAGGUGUAGCGGUGAAAUGCGCAGAUAUCAGGAGGAACACCGGUGGCGAAGGCGGUUCUCUGGGCAUUACCUGACGCUGAGGAGCGAAAGUGUGGGGAGCGAACAGG